UACGGCGUUUGGAGUACGUGCCCAAAGACCCGAUGCGGAUGAUCUAGCCAUGGGCAGGUUGAAGCGGAGGUAAGACUUCGUGGAGGACCGAACCCACCAGGGUUGAAAACCUGGGGGAUGACCUGUGGUUAGGGGUGAAAGGCCAAUCAAAACUCCGUGAUAGCUGGUUCUCCCCGAAAUGCAUUUAGGUGCAGCGUCGUGUGUUUCUUGCCGGAGGUAGAGCACUGGAUAGGCGAUGGGCCCUACCGGGUUACUGGACCUUAGCCAAACUCCGAAUGCCGGUAAGUGAGAGCGCGGCAGUGAGACUGUGGGGAUAAGCUCCAUGGUCGAGAGGGAAACAGCCCAGAGCAUCGACUAAGGCCCCUAAGCGUACGCUAAGUGGGAAAGGAUGUGGAGUCGCAGAGACAACCAGGAGGUUGGCUUAGAAGCAGCCACCCUUGAAAGAGUUGCGUAAUAGCUCACUGGUCAAGUGAUUCCGCGCCGACAAUGUAGCGGGGCUCAAGCGUACCGCCGAAGUCGUGUCAUUGCAGUAUGUACCCCCAACGGGGACUGUGAUGGGUAGGGGAGCGUCGUGUGCCGGGUGAAGCAGCCGCGGAAGCGAGUUGUGGACGGUUCACGAGUGAGAAUGCAGGCAUGAGUAGCGAUACACACGUGAGAAACGUGUGCGCCGAUUGACUAAGGGUUCCUGGGUCAAGCUGAUCUGCCCAGGUAAGUCGGGACCUAAGGCGAGGCCGACAGGCGUAGUCGAUGGACAACCGGUUGAUAUUCCGGUACCCGCUUUGAAACGCCCAAUAUCGAAUCAGGCGAUGCUAAGUCCGUGAAGCCGCCCUGGAGUCUUCGGACAAAGGGGAGUGGUGGAGCCGACGAACCAGACUUGUAGUAGGUAAGCGAUGGGGUGACGCAGGAAGGUAGUCCAGCCCGGGCGGUGGUAGUCCCGGGGUAAGGGUGUAGGCCGUGUGAUAGGCAAAUCCGUCACACAUUAAGGCUGAGACCUGAUGCCGAGCCGAUUGUGGUGAAGUGGAUGAUCCUAUGCUGUCGAGAAAAGCCUCUAGCGAGUUUCAUGGCGGCCCGUACCCUAAACCGACUCAGGUGGUCAGGUAGAGAAUACCGAGGCGUUCGGGUGAACUAUGGUUAAGGAACUCGGCAAAAUGCCCCCGUAACUUCGGGAGAAGGGGGGCCAUGUCUGGUGAGGGAACUUGCUUCCUGAGCUGGGUGUGGCCGCAGAGACCAGCGAGAAGCGACUGUUUACUAAAAACACAGGUCCGUGCGAAGCCGUAAGGCGAUGUAUACGGACUGACGCCUGCCCGGUGCUGGAACGUUAAGGGGACCGGUUAGCUCCAUUUCGGUGGGCGAAGCUGAGAACUUAAGCGCCAGUAAACGGCGGUGGUAACUAUAACCAUCCUAAGGUAGCGAAAUUCCUUGUCGGGUAAGUUCCGACCUGCACGAAUGGCGUAACGACUCUCGACUGUCUCAACAUAGGCCCGGUGAAAUUGCACUACGAGUAAAGAUGCUCGUUUCGCGCAGCAGGACGGAAAGACCCCGGGACCUUUACUAUAGCUUGAUAUUGGUGUUCGGUUCGGCUUGUGUAGGAUAGGUGGGAGACUGUGAAGCAUGCACGCCAGUGUGUGUGGAGUCGUCGUUGAAAUACCACUCUGGUCGUGCUGGAUGUCUAACCUGGGUCCGUGAUCCGGAUCAGGGACAGUGUCUGGUGGGUAGUUUAACUGGGCGGUUGCCUCCUAAA
This 1741-nucleotide ribosomal RNA is filed under the name Streptomyces cinnamoneus. RNAcentral describes it as "bacterial LSU rRNA". It matches the Rfam family "Bacterial large subunit ribosomal RNA", at positions 688 to 2294 of the family's 2925-position model. The record is from RNAcentral. Lineage: Bacteria; Bacillati; Actinomycetota; Actinomycetes; Kitasatosporales; Streptomycetaceae.